AUUGAACGCUGGCGGCAUGCCUUACACAUGCAAGUCGAACGGCAGCGGACCUUCGGGUGCCGGCGAGUGGCGAACGGGUGAGUAAUAUAUCGGAACGUACCUUUCAGUGGGGGAUAACGUAGCGAAAGUUACGCUAAUACCGCAUAUUCUGUGAGCAGGAAAGCAGGAGAUCGCAAGACCUUGCGCUGAUUGAGCGGCCGAUAUCAGAUUAGCUAGUUGGUGAGGUAAAGGCUCACCAAGGCGACGAUCUGUAGCGGGUCUGAGAGGAUGAUCCGCCACACUGGAACUGAGACACGGUCCAGACUCCUACGGGAGGCAGCAGUGGGGAAUUUUGGACAAUGGGCGCAAGCCUGAUCCAGCCAUGCCGCGUGAGUGAAGAAGGCCUGGUUGUAAGACGUCUUCGUCCGGAGAAAGACGACGACAGUAAGUACCUACGUGUGGAUGACGGUACCGGAACGUAAGAAAGAC
RNAcentral lists this ribosomal RNA (468 nucleotides) under uncultured bacterium. RNAcentral describes it as "bacterial SSU rRNA". It matches the Rfam family "Bacterial small subunit ribosomal RNA", at positions 30 to 493 of the family's 1533-position model. The record is from RNAcentral.